GAUGAAGAACGUAGCGAGAUGCGAUAAGUAAUGUGAAUUGCAGAAUUCAGUGAAUCAUCGAAUCUUUGAACGCAUCUUGCGCUCCUUGGUAUUCUGAGGAGCAUGCCUGUUUGAGUGUCAUUAAAUUCUCAACUACACUGACUUUGAAUUGGUGUGGCUUGGAUUUGGGGGGAAAAUUGUUGUGGGCUUUUUGUAUAGUCUGCUCCCCUGAAAUUGAUUAGCGGUACCUUUGUGGAACUGUCUACAGGUGUGAUAAUUAUCUACAUCUUAGACAUCUGCUGGAAUGCUGCUUUCUAAACCUUACUUGUAUUGACAAUCUUGACCUCAAAUCAGGUAGGACUACCCGCUGAACUUAAGCAUAUCAAUAAGCGGAGGA
This 376-nucleotide unclassified non-coding RNA is filed under the name soil metagenome. RNAcentral describes it as "partial contains 5.8S ribosomal RNA, internal transcribed spacer 2, and large subunit ribosomal RNA". The stretch from base 1 to 120 matches the Rfam family "5.8S ribosomal RNA", at positions 35 to 154 of the family's 154-position model. The record is from RNAcentral.